UACGUAGGGAGCAAGCGUUGUUCGGAUUUACUGGGCGUAAAGGGCGCGUAGGCGGCAAUUCAAGUCACUUGUGAAAUCUCCGGGCUUAACUCGGAACGGUCAAGUGAUACUGCUUUGCUAGAGUGCGGAAGGGGCAAUCGGAAUUCUCGGUGUAGCGGUGAAAUGCGUAGAUAUCGAGAGGGACACCUGAGGUGAAGACGGGUUGCUGGGCCGACACUGACGCUGACAGCGCGAAAGCCAGGGGAGCAAACGGG
This 254-nucleotide ribosomal RNA is filed under the name uncultured bacterium. RNAcentral describes it as "partial 16S ribosomal RNA". It matches the Rfam family "Bacterial small subunit ribosomal RNA", at positions 524 to 776 of the family's 1533-position model. The record is from RNAcentral.